GGCCUGACAAGUUGACCAUGAACCUUGCACCAUUGAUGUCUCGUGCAUCAAUCUUAACUGAUUCUGGUCUCUCUACAUCAGCAUAUAUCCUUGGGAACGAUAAGCAACCUUCAUUAAAGACUACAGUUUUCUUGGAAUAUCUGUAAACUCUAGGGUUUACAAGAACAAUUUCCUCCCCUUCACCACGUUCACCGACUGGAUUAAAUACCAUUAGUUGAACAUUAACUCCCACUUGAGGUGCUGAG
This 245-nucleotide unclassified non-coding RNA is filed under the name Hevea brasiliensis (rubber tree). The record is from RNAcentral. Lineage: Eukaryota; Viridiplantae; Streptophyta; Magnoliopsida; Malpighiales; Euphorbiaceae.